Balaenoptera musculus (blue whale) is the source of this 566-nucleotide long non-coding RNA. RefSeq lists it as uncharacterized. The record is from RefSeq and is a predicted model, not a curated record. Lineage: Eukaryota; Metazoa; Chordata; Mammalia; Artiodactyla; Balaenopteridae. The transcript has 6 exons.
CUCGUGCGCCCCCUCUUUUGCCCUGCCCUCCUUCUCCUUCCACCCACCCAGCCCGACACCCCUCGUCCCUCCCCCAACCACCCUGAACGGAUAGACAGGAGGAGGCUCAUCAUCUUCGUCGUCGCAUCCAGCAGCUGCUACUGCCAGUGCCAGGUGCCUUGUAAGCAGACUUCUGACUCCAGCUGCUUCUGGACUACAGUUCUGGGAAUCCUGACUCAUCACACUGCCCGAGUCUCCUGGAGGCUUCCCUCUAACUCCAGGCUUGCUGGUACAUGCCUGAAUCACAUUUGUGCUUGGGCUGGGACAUUUCCUGCUAUCAACACCGGAAGCAACUAGAAAACCAGAGGUCAAGGUGCUGGUGCUAAUGGUCAUUCUCCUUCCUGGCUGGAAGUUCCCUGGAGGGGGAUUUGUGGCAGCAGAAUUCUCACAUUCUCGAGGUGCUGAGGUGUGAGGAGACGGAGUGGGGAGCGUUAACUGUUGGAAGGAUCCCUUUUAUGGAUGCGUUACAUCGGGAACUAGCUAUCAGAGCAACUGGGGAGAAAUGGAAAACAGGUGCAGAAACAGGU